Corvus hawaiiensis (hawaiian crow) is the source of this 1546-nucleotide long non-coding RNA. RefSeq lists it as uncharacterized. The record is from RefSeq and is a predicted model, not a curated record. NCBI's taxonomy places the organism in Eukaryota, Metazoa, Chordata, Aves, Passeriformes, Corvidae. The transcript is spliced from 4 exons.
GUAACCAGCAGAAACACUUCUGUAUUUUAUUUAAUACAAUUACCAUUGAAAGAAAAAAAUUUGAGUCUAUUGAAAACAUCCCCACUUCACUCCAAAAACAAUCCUUGAGGUUUGAAUAUCCAGCUUCAAGAAGAAAGAAGAAGCCACAUGUAAGAAAAAUGUCAAGCAGGGACUUGGGGUGCACAAGAUGAUGGGAGAGGACAAAUCCGGGACAGCUGACCCCAUCUGACCAAAGGGAUAUUCCAUGCCAUAUGGCCUCACGCUCAGGAUAUAAAGACAGGAAAAGAAGGAAGAAGAGGGAGUUAUUCAGAAUGAUGGUGCUUGUCCUCCCCAGUAAUCGUUACACAAUAGGAAGGUCAGCUUAAAAUCAACAAUAAAACUCCAUCUGCUGACAGGAGAUGCAGGAAUUUCUUUUGAAGAAGCUAUGUUCUGCCCAGGCUGCACAACAACCAUCCUACUCCUGUUGGGAUUUAAACCAUAGUGGAGUUCCUCAUCAAGUGAUUUUCAAUGACAGAUCUGAACUCUCUCCUCAGGAACUUAUUUGGAGCAUGCAAGUGUACAGCAAAAAAAGGCAUGUGUUUCAUCUUUGCCCAUGAAACUGAAGUUCUCCCUCUGCUCAUUAUCUGAUGAGAAGCUCUCAUCUUCUUGGGCUAUUAUAUACUACAGGCUGUUAAGCACGGAAAUGCAUUCUUAUCAGCCUUUACUGGACACAUGGAGAACAGUUUCACUUUUGCAUCUUGAUAGAAAGCAAAUGAGAUUGACUGAAAGUAUACUGUACUGCAUGCAUAAUUCUUGUUUACUUUUUUAUCUGUCUGCAUUGUUUGGAUUUGGCUGAGGGUUUUCUGCAAAAGGAUGGUGGUAUUAAAUGUUCCUCAAGGUAAAUAGAGAUUUGAGAAAAUGCGUUAACAUCGGAAUACAGUUUAUCAGAAAAGUUCCCACAUAGUUCAACAUAGGGUGGGGGUUUUUUUAAUGACUGUAGAAGCCUCCCACUCCUUAUAAAAUGCUUGUUACGUUAAUUAUGGGGUCUGUUAGACAACUGAUUUCCCCCAUAUCAAAACAAAGGAAAUACUUCGGAGAACAUGAGACAGUUUCUGAAAAUCAGUAUCUGUGCAUAUCAGUUGCCAUGCAAACUAGUACUCCAGUACUCUGACAAAAUCAACAAGCAAUUAACUAAUUAGUGUUUGUUUCUCAAUAUGUAUGAAGCAUGUGGAUAGGAAGAAAACUGGCUACAAAACAUUCAAAACAGCAUGUGCUUUGUAAUACAAAACAAGCUUAUAAAGGUAUACUAGUCCAGAGAAAGAAAAAUGCUUUAAUAAUUCAUGCCAUGACUAACUCUUUCAGGGUUGUUUCUACACAGCCCUUUUCUAGAGAAAAAUUUGCCUUAUUAAUCCUUCUGUCAUUAGCUCUUUAUAUCUUUUGUCAUAAUUUUAUUGGGAUAUCAGCUGUUUUCUCCAUAUAUUUUCAUGACCUAAUUUUUAAUUCUUCAAGAUGGAGCUUCACUUUGUAGUGUAUGCUUAAGGCAAAAAUAAAAUUAAAUAUACUUAAA